GACGAACGCUGGCGGCGUGCUUAACACAUGCAAGUCGAACGGAAAGGCCCUGCUUUUGUGGGGUGCUCGAGUGGCGAACGGGUGAGUAACACGUGAGUAACCUGCCCUUGACUUUGGGAUAACUUCAGGAAACUGGGGCUAAUACCGGAUAGGAGCUCCUGCUGCAUGGUGGGGGUUGGAAAGUUUCGGCGGUUGGGGAUGGACUCGCGGCUUAUCAGCUUGUUGGUGGGGUAGUGGCUUACCAAGGCUUUGACGGGUAGCCGGCCUGAGAGGGUGACCGGCCACAUUGGGACUGAGAUCCGGCCCAGACUCCUACGGGAGGCAGCAGUGGGGAAUAUUGCACAAUGGGCGGAAGCCUGAUGCAGCCACGCCGCGUGCGGGAUGACGGCCUUCGGGUUGUAAACCGCUUUCGCCUGGGACGAAGCGUGAGUGACGGUAAUGGGUAAAGAAGCACCGGCUAACUACG
RNAcentral lists this ribosomal RNA (466 nucleotides) under uncultured bacterium. RNAcentral describes it as "partial 16S ribosomal RNA". It matches the Rfam family "Bacterial small subunit ribosomal RNA", at positions 28 to 505 of the family's 1533-position model. The record is from RNAcentral.